RNAcentral lists this long non-coding RNA (6028 nucleotides) under Podarcis lilfordi (Lilford's wall lizard). Lineage: Eukaryota; Metazoa; Chordata; Lepidosauria; Squamata; Lacertidae. The record is from RNAcentral.
AGCAACAAAAAGGCCUUUCACCCUUCUCAAUUAGGCUGCUGAAAUUAAGAGAGCUGUGAGCUGGGGGGAAUUGGGAGCUGAUUUUUAUGUGUGAAGAACUAAGAGCUCAAUUAUGAUCCUGAAAACAAAUGGCUCUUUCAUAAUCUACUCUCCUGGUUUUGCACCUGGUUUCAGCUGGUGAACCUUGAGGUUCUACUAACAAAGCAAGGGAGGUCCUGUAAGCCUGAAGUCUUCUCAGCCUGCCUUGUGACCUCUCCAUGGAUACAAGAAACAAAUGCCUGAGCAGGGCUUGGGUGAUUGUGUGAAAAAGACCCAGCAAGCACAGCCUUGCUGCUUCACCCCUUUUCUGUUUCACAUAGCGUGUUCUCCAUAACAGAGAGCACGUGUUGCGGUUGGGGGAACAAGCCCCCCUGCCGUUACUGGGCAGAUUUUGGGAGGAACCCAAGCCUUUAAGUGGUUAAAUUGGGUUGCUGGGGCGUUUUGAUUGUUGCCAAUUUGGAGGAGGGGUCAGAGUCUUUAAAUACAGGAAGCCCAACGUUGGGCGUCCUCUUGGCCAUUUUGCAUCGGAUCACAUGGAGCACUUGGACAAUCUUCUCAUUGUCUGGUUACAUUUCUUUAUUUCUUUAUUUCCCCUUUCUUUUCAUCCUCUCUAGUCCCUUAAAUAAUUUAAUUCCCCCCUUUUCCUGUUCGAUUUCCCACCCCACCCCUUACCCUGCCCUGUGGGAAGAUUCUCCCUGUAUCUGUGGCUUGCCUUUCCCAAUAGGGAGAGAGCCCCCGUUAGGGGCUUUCUUUCGCAAAAAGGUUUCCCCCAUUUCUCCUGUUGAAAUUGUGGGGCUAAUCAGGGCUGUUCCCAGCUUAGCGGGAGUCACUUUCGUUUAUAGUAUCCCCGAAGGUUGGCUUUAUUUUGGGUGUGCGCAGCGCUGUUGGCCAAAUUUUAAUCUAGCUUUGGGCGGGAGCACUAAUUUGAGUUCCUUUAAUAUUGCUAUGAGACUAAGAUUCUCAAGAGCAGAAGCAGGGAGGCCUAUUCGGCCUGCACAUAACUUCCAAGCCUAAGUCUGCUACAGGUAGCACUUAAUUGUGAAGUCUCUGUGACAUGUGACUCAUUCUCUCUCUGAGAAAGUAUCUUUUGCUUGCAGGCCCAGUUGCUGCUAAUGUAUAUCUGAGGCAGACAGAGGGCGCCAGAGGCUUUCUGUGCCUCCAGUGACUAUGAGCACUCUGUGUAUUCUCUUGAGCUAUGUUGUUUCUGAACAAGUUUAUUUUCUUCAGGUUUGUUUUGCCCUGAUAGUGGUGACUGCCAUUUUAGAGAUGAGCCAGUGUGGCUUAGUGGCUAGAGUGCAGGACUAGGUCCUGGGACACAGGGUUCAUAUCCCCCUCUUAGCCAUUGUUAUAACAAAACAAAACAAACUGCUCCUUUUUGGCUAUUCUGUUGCUGGGUAGUUUGGCCCAUUUGUGAUAAAAGAACUUUGGGUUUCUUGAAGGGGUGCUUCCCUCUAAAAGGGCAAGCAGGGGUACCUGGACAAGCUGUGGGCCACCUCAACUCUGCUAUUUCACUGGAAACAUUUAUGCCUGGCCUAGCAGGUGAUCCUAGGGCUUUGCCCUAGAAUUCGAUGGCCUGGAAGCAUUUCCGGCCUGAAUAGUGUCCCCAUGUGGUGCAUGAAGCAUUGGUUUCACUGGGUCAGCGCAUAGUGCCGGUAAUGCCUAGGUUGCAGGAUUGGUCCCUGUAUGGGACAGCUGCAUGCUCCCCCAUUGCUCUACCUGGACACUUAGGUCCUUUUGGUGGUUCCCUCACUGUGAGGGAAGUAACGGGCACCAUGUUUGCAAUAUGCAAGCGGGAGAAAGCACCUUUGCGUGCCCGCAUUGCAGUUUGCUCUGUGCGUUGCAGGGCACGGCGCUGCACGGGCUGCAAUUGCAUUGCAUUGCAUUGCAUUGUGUGAGAGAUUUGCAGUUGCAUUGCACGGAGGGUGUGUGCAUUGCACGGAGGGUGUAAGUGCAUUGCACAGAGGGUGUAGUUGCAUUUCACGGAGUGUGUUGUUGCAUUGCACGAAGUGUGUUGUUGCAUUGUACGGAAGGUGUGGUGCAUUGCACAGAGUGUGUGUGUGUGUGUGUGUGCAUUGCACGGAGUGUGUAGUUGCAUUGCACGGAGUGUGUGUGCAUUGCACGGAAGGUGUAGUUGCAUUGCACAGAGUGUGUGUGCAUUGAACGGAGUGUGUAGUUGCAUUGAACGGAGGGUGUGUGCAGUGCACGGAGUGUGUAGUUGCAUUGAACGGAGGGUGUAGUUGCAUUGCAUGGAGGGUUUGUGUGUGCAUUGCACGGAGUGUGUAGUUGCAUUGCAAGGAGUGUAGUUGCAUUGCAUGGAGUAUGUGUGCACUGCACGGAGUGUGUUUUUGCAUUGCACAGACUGUGUGUCUGAAAAGGAAGCUGGCUCGGCGGCAGCUUUGUCGGGACUUCUUUGGGGGUUCUGGCCAGCGUCGGCCCUGUAAAUUUACAUAUCAUGAUGGCAGCACAAGAUGCCCCCUGCCCAAGCGGGGGCUGGAAGCUGGCAAGCAAUAGCUCAAUACUUUUUGCCCAUAUUCCCAUUUUAUUUAGGGAUCCAGUUGGAUAUCGUUGCUAAAACACACCACUUGCCUAUGGAGAAGCUGUCUGCCUUGAAGGAAGUUAUUUUGUAAUACUUCCUCUGUAGCAAGUGAUGCUUCAUCAGAUCCGAUCUUGCUGGGUCACUUAAUUAAUCUUGCAUGCAGAGUGGUUGCCCCAGGCCACCCCUUCCAUUCCCGCUAGGCCAGGCUGCCUGCGGCCUGAGGUCCCCUUACCUUUGUGUACGCCUACCAAGUGAGGUGAAGGCAGAUAUCAGGCGAUGGUUGCAAUUCCUGAAUGUAUGCAAUAGUAGUUCGCCAUGGCAGGAUACCUUGAACCCGCACAGGGAUUUUCAGGUUCAUGCUGGUGCUGCUGGAUCUUUGCCCUUUGGUUUUUUAUUUCAGGGGCUGCUGGUGUGCAUAGCCAUGGCCUCAAGCCCGGUGUGGUGAGGCAAUCAUGUGACCUAACUUUUCUUGAGUUUUCCCCAUUGUAGUAGCAGUUCACAUGUGGCCCGAGGAGUUCAGUGACCAUCGGAUCUGCUUUUGGUCGGAUAACCAGGCAGCGGUGAGCGUCUUGGCAGAACAGUCCUCAAGCUCCAGCAGAGUCUCCGCCCCUCCGCUCACGCUUUCGAGCUGCGCCGCUUAAGGUUUAAUAUUGUGCUUUCUGCUCUCCUGAUUACGGGAUCCUCUAAUGAUGUCGCUGACACUCUAUCCCAUUUUCAGAUGAAGCGCUUCAGAUCCUGGGCUCCAGACACUCAGCUACUGCCAGACUUUUCCAGACCACCUGUGGCACUUUGACAACAAUUAGUAAUUACAGAGAGCAGCAGCUUCCAUUUCCCCUUCUGCUUUUAGCUCUUAUGAGAAGGCCUGGAUGGAUUUCAUAGCCUUAAGCUGGCAGUCCUCGGCCAUUCAGAAGAACUGGCUCCCAUCCUCUGAGCAGAUCCUGCAGUAUUUGGUCCACCUGCUGCAGGUUGGAUGUGCUGUUAAAACUAUCAGUAUUCAGUCCGCUGCUAUGUCUGUUAUAGUAAAGCUUUAAUUUGCAGAGACCCUUGUAUAAAGUCUGUCGUGCACAGGGCCUUGGAAGGUUGGAAUAGGCUCCAACCUCAUACGACAGUGGGCAGGAAGUCGGUCAAUUUUUACCUAUGUAGUAUCUGCAACAAGUUAUAACUUGUCUGCUGGUUAAAGAUCAAGGCGAGACUCCUUUCAGUAUUCCAUUGCAUUUUUGGUGCACUGAGGGUUGGGGAAAUUGUGUUGGAGCCAGCACGGGGCUGAGAGUCUGGAGGCUUAUUGCUUCUGGACUUUUUCUUAUCUGCUUUGGAGCUGGUCAUUAGAGUGGGGAACUCUAAAACAGACCGAGUGGGCAGGAGUGCCACCAUCAGGCUUCCCCUCACAGGUGAGGAGGGCCCUUGCCCGGUUAUGGAUACCAGAAAUAUUUGGCUUUUCGUUCCCCGGGGGCUGGCCCGCUCCUAGUGCAUGGAAAUGGGUUCCCGUUAGCCAGGCAUCAAUGUGCUUACGUCGUGCACCAGUUAUUACGGCCUGCGGCUUGCUUACCGCUGAACACGCCUCAUUCCUUACGAUUAGGUGCUGCUGCAAAGGCUGCACACUGGGGGCCUGUCAGUAGACAUGACUGUGAAUACGGGUCAUUGGAAGUCUGACGCUGACAAGGGUUAUAUCAGGAAGUGUCACAAUGAUGUCUGCUGAUGCUUGUCUGUUAUUUCCUUUUUCAUAGGAGCAGCUGUGCACAUUUGGGCCACAGCAUUGUACACUGGGCUGGCAAACGCGCUGACGAGUCUGGACUGGGGCGCCAUCUCAGUCUUCCUGCCCAUCUGAGCAUAUACUGGGUGUCCAGAUGGGGAAUGCUUUGGGAGGAGUUCCUUCCUUUGGUGCGGUCGAGUGUGACCUGUGCAGGUCCUCCCGCAGUGCUAGUGGGGCAGCUGGACGAGAAUGACUUGCCGUCUUCUUACAGCAUAAGUUUGCGUUCCUGCAUGCAGGAGGACUUGGAUGAGUUGAUGGCAGCUCUCCCUGGACUCAAAAUAAUUUAAGGCAUUGGUUCAAGGUGGUCUGGAGGGGGGGUCGGAGCACCUGUCCCCUCCAAUGCGCAAAGGUAAUCCUUUAAAGGAAUCCAAGGAUUCACCAUGCUUUUGUCGACCCCUUUCGAGGGGCAGGGCCACGCAAGGGUCCCUGGGAACAUUUGGGGUGCGCUUGAGUCUGAUCCUGGUUCAUUGCUCCCCCACGCGGUUUAUUUGUACUGACGAUAUGGUGGGGCCCAGUCGUCAGUGCUGCGCUGCUGAGGUCAGGCGCAGCUAGUCGGGAACCAAUGCCUAGACAAACUACCACCGAGGAGGCCGGAAAGCGUGUUAAUAAGGCAGUGGAAAAUAAAAUACAGGUCGUUGGAAAUCGAAUGCAUUCAAAGGUUAUGUUCGUUAACAUUAUUGGUGUCUUACAAGUUUUGCUUGUUUUAUCUUAGGUUUAGCAGCUGUCCGCAUCUGGAUGGUGGGGCACAGCAUCAUGCAUUGGGCUGGCAUCAGUGCACGGCAGUCCGGAUUGGGACCAGGUCUCGACCUUCCUCCACAUGUGCAGUUGCCUUGGCUGUCCAGACGGGGAAUGCGCUGGCCAGAAUUCCUGCCGCUGAUUCGGAGGCGGGUGCUGCUGGAAGGGCCGCCCACUGCUGUCGUGGUGCAGCUGGGUGAGAACGACCUGGUUUCCAUGGACUGUUUUUCACUACGUGCUGCAACUUUGGGUGACCUGGAGAAGCUGCGGGCAGUGGUGCCGACAGCAAAAAUAUUUUGGUCAAAGCUUUUGCGACGACGUGUUUGGAAGGGUAGUCGUUGCCCAGCUGCCACUGAAAGUCCAGGAAGCGCAUCAAUUCUGCUGUGUCUAAAAAGAUUUUGGAGCUGGGUGGAGAUGUGAUUUCCCACCUUGAGAUUCUUUUUCAGGCUGAAUCCUUUUUCAGAGAUGCACCUUUCUGCCUUAGGGAAUAAGGCUUGGCUGGGUGCUGUGGUGGCUAAGCUGAAGGCUUGGUUGGGUCUGUGAGUGGUUUGGCGGUGAGCUGAAGGCUCCAUGGAGGUUAGGCAUUGGUUAAAAUUGGUUCUUGGAGGGGUAAGUGCCUACCCCUCCAAAUGGUGCGGAAAGGGAAUUCUGUUAAAGGAAUCCAGGGGCUUGCCAUUCUUUUCGUCCUUGUCCCUGGCAUCGGACUUGGGCCGUGCAAGCCCCACAGGAACAUGAGGGUGAGAAGUGAGGGACUGAUGCCCAGCUUCAUUUUCUCACCCAAUACUUGUUUCCCACGCUGGCUUCCGUUGGUGUCCGGAAGGCCAGCUCUGUCCCUGAGGGCAAGGACAGAUAGUCAUAACCAGUGCCUAAGCAACCACUCACAUUUUUUGUAUUUUGAAUAAAGUUGUGGCCAAAAUUAUGCCAAAAACCUUAAACAAAAAUUGAUGUGUGAAGUGUGAAUUUUUUGG